UCAUUAUCGAAUUUUGAUUUCGAGGAGAAAGGGCAUCGAUUGUCGCUGGCUGGCUUUUCAGCAUGUGCACAUCUAUGCUUUCUCACCUCGUCUCAUAUCCCACACACCUGUGCACCUAUUGUAGGUCCUCGAAAGAGGAUCUAUGUUUUUUCUACAUCACACACGUCGUAUGUCUAGAAUGUAUUUGAUAACUUGUCGAUCAGGCUUGAUUGUCCUGGUCCCCAAGGUUCAAUAAAACCACUAUACAACUUUCAGCAAUGGAUCUCUUGGCUCUCGCAUCGAUGAAGAACGCAGCGAAUUGCGAUAAGUAAUGUGAAUUGCAGAUUUCCAGUGAAUCAUCGAAUCUUUGAACGCACCUUGCGCUCCUUGGUAUUCCGAGGAGCAUGCCUGUUUGAGUGUCAUUGAAUUUCUCAACCAUGCCUUUUGUGCAUGGCUUGGACUUGGGGGUUUGCUGGCAGCCAUCAGCUCUCCUGAAAUGCAUUAGCAAAGGAUGUGCUAGUCUCUGGACGUGCACGGCCUUCGACGUGAUAAUGAUCGUCGUGGCUGGAGCGNCCUCUUUCAGGGGACCAUGCAUAUGAAUUUGCUUCUAAUACAGCAGCUAGUUACUAGUCGGUCAUGANCCUGGCGAACACAGCUGAGAAC
RNAcentral lists this ribosomal RNA (642 nucleotides) under Hemileccinum rubropunctum. RNAcentral's name for it is "eukaryotic LSU rRNA". The stretch from base 247 to 401 matches the Rfam family "5.8S ribosomal RNA". The record is from RNAcentral. Lineage: Eukaryota; Fungi; Basidiomycota; Agaricomycetes; Boletales; Boletaceae.